GCUGCAUAUGAAUUAAUAUUAAAGCAGCAACUGACUACAGAAGCUGAGAAAAAAUGCUUUGAUUCCACUGAGGGACACUGCGAUUUUAAGGCUUUGGUGUGCGGUGUUCCUUCCAUGCUGGGAGCCAUUGUUACGCUGUGGAAUGCAGGAAGCCGACUGAUGGGAUGCAGAGGUCCCGGUGCUGCAAAAGACGCUUUUGGUGGGAGUCGACCCAGAGCAUGGCGGUGAGCAGAUGUGUUUCAAGCUGCUACUGACAAUUUAGUGUCUCUGGGAAAGAAGCAAAAACUAAUACCUCCAUGUGUGCAAAACUUUUUCCAGCAGCAGCUAUUUAAUAAUAUUGCCCCGGCAUUCUCCAUAGUGUGAUACAAACACAGUGAUAAAGCAAGACAGCUGCAGACAAAGAGGGCCCUGCUCGCAAGCUUACAACCUCUAUAAAUCUGCCGCUAGUAUCUAUUAGCUCCAUGUUGCAGAUGAUAGAAGUGUGGUCAAAUAUAAAUGCCUCUGACAUUGCACCAUUACAUAACUAAAGCAGACUCAUGAAAAGGCGCUCACUAAUAAUAGCUCUGAAUACCGCCCCUCUGAAGAUGACACAAGUAGGUGUGACACUACAAUUUACUUACUUUAUUAAUGUAAUACUCUCAAUCAUGGAAACAGCACAGCUAAGCUUACCUGUAGCUUUUUGUCGCACAACGUUCCGAGCCUUCUCCACGCCUGGGGCCCCAGAGGUAGUUGCACUUCGGAAUCUCAUUGGUUCAUGUGCAUCUGGGUGAUUUCUCCAGCUCAGAGAGAAUGACCGGCCCACUGCAGCCCCUUUGUGAGGAUCUGGAAAGCCACCUUACAUAAGGAAGUAAGGAGAAAAGCUAUCAAAUGACAGCCUACAACCUCUUUGUAUCAGCACACUGUAUUUUGUUCAGUCCUAGGAUUUGGAAGCUUAUUGAGAUUAUUAGAUUCCAUGAUAUUAGAAUUAUAAGUAAGAUGAGAUGUGAGCUCGAUAACGAUGGAACCAUGGAAAUGGACCCUUGUAACAUUUUAGACUACUGAUGUGUGGAGAACACAUGGAAAGUUUAAUAAUGUAAGAUGCUAUUUAAAUAAACACUGCAUUUUGCAUUUGGAGAAAAAAGCUUAGAAACUUUAAAACUAGAAACAUUAAAAAUAUAAAAAUGAAAAACAGAUUGAAGAAACAUUAAAGUUCUAGGUCGCUGAAGUUUCUUCUGGACAAGUAAUAAAAGUGAAAAGAUUUUAAAUAAAAUAGGGAAUGGAAUGACACAAAAUUCUGAAAUACUUAAUUUGGGUUAGAAUAAAAUUAUACUGGAUAAUGGUCUACUGACCACAACUGUGUUUAAACCGUGUUCUACUAAGCAGCCACUAGAUGUCACUAAUUCAACGCGAUGAAUAUUUUUGUAUUGUGAGACUACAUUAUAAAUAGAGGACACUUUUGAAAGGAGCGUGCUUAUUUCCCAUUUUUAGUGUGCAUAAAAAAAGGAUGCUUAAUAUGACAAUAAA
Pseudophryne corroboree (corroboree frog) is the source of this 1503-nucleotide long non-coding RNA. RefSeq lists it as uncharacterized. The record is from RefSeq and is a predicted model, not a curated record. NCBI's taxonomy places the organism in Eukaryota, Metazoa, Chordata, Amphibia, Anura, Myobatrachidae. The transcript is spliced from 3 exons.